Molecule: ribosomal RNA, 490 nt
Filed under: uncultured bacterium
Lineage: Bacteria
Description: partial 16S ribosomal RNA
Rfam family: Bacterial small subunit ribosomal RNA
Source: RNAcentral
AGUGAACGCUGGCGGUAGGCCUAACACAUGCAAGUCGAACGGCAGCACAGUAAGAGCUUGCUCUUACGGGUGGCGAGUGGCGGACGGGUGAGGAAUACAUCGGAAUCUACUUUUUCGUGGGGGAUAACGUAGGGAAACUUACGCUAAUACCGCAUACGACCUACGGGUGAAAGCAGGGGAUCUUCGGACCUUGCGCGAUUGAAUGAGCCGAUGUCGGAUUAGCUAGUUGGCGGGGUAAAGGCCCACCAAGGCGACGAUCCGUAGCUGGUCUGAGAGGAUGAUCGGCCACCCUGGAACGGGGACCCGGUCCAGACUCCUCCGGGGGGCAGCAGUGGGGAAUAUUGGAAAAUGGGCGCAAGCCUGAUCCAGCCAUACCGCGUGGGUGAAGAAGGCCUUCGGGUUGUAAAGCCCUUUUGUUGGGAAAAAAAAGCAGCAGGUUAAUACCCCGCUGUUCUGACGGUACCAAAAGAAUAAGCACCGGCUACCGUCG